This 264-nucleotide ribosomal RNA is filed under the name uncultured archaeon. RNAcentral's name for it is "partial 16S ribosomal RNA". It matches the Rfam family "Archaeal small subunit ribosomal RNA", at positions 718 to 982 of the family's 1478-position model. The record is from RNAcentral.
AGUCACUGACAUUAGAUACCCCGGUAGUCCUAGCCGUAAACGAUACUCGCUAGGUGUCGGCCACGGUGCGACCGUUGUCGGUGCCGUAGGGAAGCCGUGAAGCGAGCCACCUGGGAAGUACGGCCGCAAGGCUGAAACUUAAAGGAAUUGGCGGGGAGCACCACAAGAGGUGGAGGCUGCGGUUCAAUUGGACUCAACGCCGGAAAACUCAUCGGGAGCGACAGCAGUAUGAUUGCCAGGUAGAUGACCUUGCUUGACAAGCUG